GCAGUCGUGGCCGAGAGGUUAAGGCGAUGGACUCGAAAUCCAUUGGGGUCUCCCGCGCAGGUUCGAAUCCUGCCGGCUGCG
This 81-nucleotide transfer RNA is filed under the name Trichonephila clavata. It matches the Rfam family "tRNA". Rfam says of the family: Transfer RNA (tRNA) molecules are approximately 80 nucleotides in length. Their secondary structure includes four short double-helical elements and three loops (D, anti-codon, and T loops). The record is from Rfam by way of RNAcentral. Lineage: Eukaryota; Metazoa; Arthropoda; Arachnida; Araneae; Nephilidae.